UGGGGAAUAUUGCACAAUGGGCGCAAGCCUGAUGCAGCCAUGCCGCGUGUAUGAAGAAGGCCUUCGGGUUGUAAAGUACUUUCAGCGGGGAGGAAGGGGGUAAAGUUAAUACCUUUGCUCAUUGACGUUACCCGCAGAAGAAGCACCGGCUAACUCCGUGCCAGCAGCCGCGGUAAUACGGAGGGUGCAAGCGUUAAUCGGAAUUACUGGGCGUAAAGCGCACGCAGGCGGUUUGUUAAGUCAGAUGUGAAAUCCCCGGGCUCAACCUGGGAACUGCAUCUGAUACUGGCAAGCUUGAGUCUCGUAGAGGGGGGUAGAAUUCCAGGUGUAGCGGUGAAAUGCGUAGAGAUCUGGAGGAAUACCGGUGGCGAAGGCGGCCCCCUGGACAAAGACUGACGCUCAGGUGCGAAAGCGUGGGGAGCAAACAGG
Molecule: ribosomal RNA, 429 nt
Filed under: Chloroflexota bacterium
Lineage: Bacteria; Bacillati; Chloroflexota
Description: Chloroflexi bacterium partial 16S ribosomal RNA
Rfam family: Bacterial small subunit ribosomal RNA
Source: RNAcentral